GCCAUCUCCAUCAACAUCACCUAUUGUUGGGCCCUGAGAAACAAGACUCUUGAGAUGCCUCUCCCAAAUUUCUUUUCCUUGUGACGUCCACGCAGCAACAUUUCCAUGUGUAUCAGUAGUCACUAGUUCAAUUUUGCCAUCAUCAUUGAUGUCAGCUGCAACUACAGCUCCUUGAAUUUCAGCCAUUUCUAAAGGAAACUUUUCUCUAAUAUUUCCAUGAUGAUCCAAGACAUAGAACAAGCCAAAUGAAGUUCCAACGAGAAUAUCCAAAUUUCCA
RNAcentral lists this unclassified non-coding RNA (277 nucleotides) under Hevea brasiliensis (rubber tree). Lineage: Eukaryota; Viridiplantae; Streptophyta; Magnoliopsida; Malpighiales; Euphorbiaceae. The record is from RNAcentral.